UGUUUAAUAGCUGAUAACAUAUAUAUAUAAUGCUCAUUCAUACAGUUUGCAACUUACAAUUAUUAUUAUUAUUACAACCAAACUUAAUAAUAACAAUACACAUCAGAAUGCAAAUGCAGGUGUAGCUGCCUAAAACCAUGGCAACAAGGUAUCAAAAUCUUUGAAAGAAGGCAUGGAAUUAUUAAUAGUUUGAGGUUGUAUGUUUGUAGUAGGAGCAGCAAUAAGAGGUGGUUGUUUGUGAAGUUGAUUUGGUUGACUUGCCGAUCCAAUCCAAUCCGUUGAUGAGUUCUUGCCAGUGAGGCUCUGAACAACAUCCCUGAAGUUCACGGCAUCCGUCUCCACAUACCGUGUCUCAAUUUGCACUAUCUUUGGAGCUUCACCACUCCUCAUCCUCUAUCUUCU
Molecule: long non-coding RNA, 402 nt
Filed under: Arachis ipaensis
Lineage: Eukaryota; Viridiplantae; Streptophyta; Magnoliopsida; Fabales; Fabaceae
Description: long non-coding RNA (AIPA_LNC002353)
Source: RNAcentral